GACGAACGCUGGCGGCGUGCCUAAUACAUGCAAGUCGAACGCAGUUGCGAACGGGUGAGUAACGCGUAGGUAACUGCCUCAUAGCGGGGGAUAACUAUUGGAAACGAUAGCUAAUACCGCAUACUGUGAGAUGGACCUGCGUUGUAUUGGCCAGUUGGUGAGGUAAAGGCUCACCAAGGCGAAGAUACAUAGCCGAGCUGAGAGGGUGAUCCGCCACACUGGGACGUGGACACGGCCCCGAAUCCCUCCGGAGGCAGCAGUAGGGAAUCUUCGGCCAAUGACGGAAGUCUGACCGCGGAACGCCGCCUGAGUGAAGAAGGGUUUCGGAUCUUAAAGCUAUGUUGUUAGAGAAGCGUUAACUAACCAGAAAGGGACGGCUAACUACGUGCCAGCCGCCGCGGUAAUUC
RNAcentral lists this ribosomal RNA (407 nucleotides) under uncultured bacterium. RNAcentral describes it as "partial 16S ribosomal RNA". It matches the Rfam family "Bacterial small subunit ribosomal RNA", at positions 28 to 526 of the family's 1533-position model. The record is from RNAcentral.